UACGGAGGGUGCAAGCGUUAUCCGGAAUCACUGGGUUUAAAGGGUGCGUAGGCGGUGGCGUAAGUCAGUUGUGAAAUUCCCCGGCUUAACCGGCGGGAGUGCGAUUGAUACUGUGUCACUUGAAUGAGGUUGAGGUAGGCGGAAUGUGGCAUGUAGCGGUGAAAUGCAUAGAUAUGCCAUAGAACACCGAUUGCGAAGGCAGCUUGCUGGACCUUCAUUGACGUUGAGGCACGAAAGCGUGGGGAGCAAACAGG
RNAcentral lists this ribosomal RNA (254 nucleotides) under uncultured bacterium. Its description in RNAcentral is "partial 16S ribosomal RNA". It matches the Rfam family "Bacterial small subunit ribosomal RNA", at positions 524 to 776 of the family's 1533-position model. The record is from RNAcentral.